CAUAAAAGUUGCCCAUCCCUGGCCUAGAUAUUCUAUUACAAAACCUCAGUAAAUGUACCAGGAGCUGGCGAGUCAGCACUGUGAGUCUAGACAAUGAGAACCUGGUGAGAAGCUUUAUAUCUCAAAAACAAGGUGGGAGGAAGUUGAAUAGAAUAACUUUAUUUAAUCAAUUAAGCUGUGUCAUUUGGAUUAGGUAAUAAAUACAUACACCAAACAGCACAAUGUAGACAGACGGUGGAUUUAAGUGAAUGUUAGAUCUUGUUCGAUUUUAGAACAAUCUUUCCCGGCUGUUCUUUUACAUUACAGUUCACCAUAUUUGAGGCUCAUGCUAAGUGCAAGAACAUCCUGUCAUGGGUGAAGAAGGCCUCUUCAACUGAGGUGGUCCCUGCCCUUGAUCUCAGCAUGGAUAGGGAUUUGCCCUGGACACCAUCAUCAUCAUCAUCAUCAACUUCCUCCUCCUGGUCUUCAGUCGUAAUCAAUGUAGCAGAUCUGGGAGCGGCCUCCACAUGCCGCAGCAUCAGAUUCAGCCUUGGGCCAAGUCAUGGGCCAAGCGAGGUCGCCAACCCUAGAACUGGUGCCAGCACACGGAACCCAACUCCCUUCCCCUCCCCCAUUUUCUCAGAGGAGUCUUUGGGAAAUGAGGAAGAGGAUGACAACCUAAGAAAAUAUUGCACCGCAUCUGAGGACAGAGAUAGAGAGGAUUGGGACAGACCCCGCUCAGACCCCCUGAGGUCUGUGUUUGGACUGUCUCACAGCUUUAUCUUCAGUCAGGUUCACAGAGACGCCCACAGGUCCCUGAGUGAGGUCAUACUGCCGUCCAUCCAGAGGAGACCGAAGAAGAUGAGGCCUAUUAUUCUGUCUGCGGACACCAGGCUGAUCAUGGCCAUUGUGGAGAUCAUCAUCAAGCAGAUAAAUGCAAGUCUAGCCCAGAUUGUGCUGAAAGGAUGUGCCAGUCAGGGAGCCGAAGCUCCUUCGACCAGCAUCAGCUCACUGAGCAGUCAAUUUGCUGAGCAGAUGCUGAGGAUAAUCACAACCACAAUGAAUGGCCAUAUUAUGGGACAGAUGGCACUCACUCGGCUGUCUGGAAAGUCCCCCCUGGAGAUCGAGAGCAGGCUUGAGACAGAGCUAGGGCCACUGGCAGGUCAGGUCAUUGUUGCAACCAUCAGCAGCAUCCAGAGGGCGAAGAGCGAUGCUCAGACAGGACAUGAGGUUCGGGUGUCCUCACCUUGCACCUACUUCCUGUCAGCUGUGUCGGCUGAGGUGCAGAGUCUGGUGGUCCAGAGAUCAGGGACCAGGAUGUCAGCCAGACAGUCAGGCAGCAACCACCUGCUGAACCUGUCUCAGGCGAAGAUCACCAGGGCCGUCGAGUUGAAAAUGGCUGAAAUGUACGGCGGAUCCCUGUGGGAUUGGUCCCUGACAGAACAGAAUAUCCAGCCAGGUCAUGACAGAAUCACUGCCAUGUCCAGUGAUUUGGUGGAUUUGGUGCUCGAUGAUACCCUGGAUGCCCUUGGAUAUCUAGAGAACCAGGCAUUAUCCGGGCCCCAGAGCGUUGGCUACCGGAACGGGAUUGAAGGCCUCGACAUUGAUGGUGUGGCAAGGGACAUGGUCCGGAAAGCUGCAGUCAAACUCAAGGCAUCCAUGUCUGAGCUUGAACUGGAGGUGGGAUCCAGAUCCUCACAGGGCAGCAGUGGUCCCUCGAACCACUCACCUCUGUCUCGCUCCCACUCCGACCCGAGGAUGCUCUGUGUCUGGUCAGCAGCGGGAGUCAGAACUGUCCUGCAAGUGUUAAAAACAGAGCUUGACAGCAACUCAGAUGAGUCCUUUGAUCCGCUCCAGAUGGCUAGAAACCUUCUAGCACGUCUAGCGUCGGGUGUCAAGAGCAUCGACAAUCUGGAAAUUGGUAAGAUGCUCCAGGGCACCUCAGCAAUCAUGGAGCCGGAGGCUGUGAGAGAAUACCCAGAAAUAUCUUCCACUGCCAUCUACCACUCCCUGCUCAUUGAUUGUCCUUUCCCACCAUCAGAGAGGGUUCAGGAAACAAUUAUCCUAAGCCAUCCACUCACUGCACAGGACGUGACCACACAGAGGAAAAAGCAGCAUUCUGCUGACCUUCAGACCGACAGCCUAAUGGCAGAAUACCCUGCCAAGGCACAACGGGUAGUGACUCAGGUCAUAAGAGAUUCUCCUUUAACCGUGGACAUCCUGUCAGCCCACGUCUCCUCAAAGAACAUUGCUGAGGCAUCAACUCACGUUCUUGAGUCCCUUCUAGUGGACUUAAACGAGGCAGUUGAGGUGAGUAGGGCAGAGCGGAGCAAGUUCUGGGAACAGGUCCAGUUAUCCUCCCAGAAACUUUACAGCACAGCUGUGGACAAGCUGAAGAGUUUGUACACUGGUUGCCUCCUCAACAACGAGCGAGACCACCAGGAUACCCAUGUAACCGCUGACAAAAUCCAGGACAUGGAAGUGUCUACCAACAAUGACCUCAAAGACCCAACAGUUGCAGUCAGCCAGGAGUUAGUCCGACACAGCGCAAAGAAGAUCCUCACAAAGGUUCUGAAUGUGAUCAAAGCCGGAGUAGCUGGCUCAGAGCACUCAUCUGUGGGCGAGCAGAUGACCGAAGAGUGCCAAGUUGCCACAGAGAUGUUGGACUCCAUUCUGAACAGACUAGAAGAUGAUGAGCCUGAUGUGGGUGAAGAGGAUCAUCUUCAUGUGAUGUCUGUCCGUGACAUCUACGAGGAUGUCUCAUCUAAAACCUCUCAGGUUUGUAUGGUGAUGAGUAGCCAGGCGAUGGACGCGUUGACCGAUGAUGUGUCUGCCGCAACCUAUGUGCAUGAUAUUGUGUACAGGUCAGAGAGUUGUCUCUCUCAGGCCACAAGUACCCACAGGUCAGGCACUAGCCAGGCCUCCAGUGACCUUGUUGUUGAGUACAUGUCUGAGCUCCAUGCCAACUGCCUUGACACCGCAUUGCCUGUGAGGUGCACUUCUACAGCUGUUGGCGAUACAGAGACUUGUCAUGUCCCCUCUGCCAGAGUGAAGAAGAAGAGUCAGGGCCGGAGGUUCAGUUGCUGCCCAAAGUUGCCAACGGUCAGGAUCAAGGUGUUCAAGGGCAGAGUGGAACCAGAGAGCCACCCCGCUCAAAAGGAGCUGCCUUCGCAGCGUUUCAGCACCUCUCGAGUUGCGCUGUAUGAUGAUCAUGCUGUCCCAAUCAUUCCCCAACUUGAGGACGACCUGCCACCAGCACCUGCACAGGAGUCCCGUAAACGUCCCCUGUUUGUGAGAAUGUUCCGGGCCAUUUCCAGGGCCAUCUCAAAGCCAUUCAAGGGCUGUGCUUUUUGCAAGAAGAAUUAG
Molecule: long non-coding RNA, 3345 nt
Organism: Oncorhynchus kisutch (coho salmon)
Lineage: Eukaryota; Metazoa; Chordata; Actinopteri; Salmoniformes; Salmonidae
Source: Ensembl